UCUAUGUUAUAAGAAAACAUUAAUUUGCUUUGAUAAGUCAUAACUGAAGUGCAACGCUGGGAACAGAAAGCAUUAUGCUAAACCAAAUCACCAAAUCAGAUUUUUGUGAUUCAGUUUAAAAUGGGAUCUCAAAGGACAAAAAGCACCCUAUUUCUGACUCUUUGGAUGCCUGUUAGGCACAACUAACCACUCCGCACCACCAACAUACCUCGCCGUCAGUCUUUCCCAUAUUAGUUAAUGGCACUAUCAUCCAGCCACAUAUUCAGACCAAACAGCAAGAAGUCAUUCCUAUUUGUAACCCGACCCAGCUACAAGUCUUAACUGUUCUAUCUCCAAAAUAGAUUAUGAAAUGACCACAUUAUUUCCACCUCCACUGAUACUAUGCUUUGUUGGAAUAUGGUGAGACUAACUCCUUUUAAAAUGUGAAAUCAAUUUCAGUAUGCUCCUGUAAAGCGCCACUAUUACUUCCUCUUGUAAUUGGAAUUAAAUGAAGACUUUUGCUGUGACCCAUUGAAGAGAUUGCAUUCCAUAAAUGGGCAUUUUUCUGCGAUAGAGAAAAAGAUCAUCUGUUAAGUAGAUACAUCAGAUCCCAUCUGAGAGCGUGACAAACAGUACAGGAAAGGGGAGAGAAGAGUUUCACCAGACUGGAAGCCAGGACCUGAGCUCUGAAAGGCUCAAUGGACCAUGAAAGGUCAAGGAUGGCUUGGGUGUCGAUGACCAUAGGCGUGAGCAUUUUAAGAUACCACAGCUGUACUGACACUUUCGUCUGUGAAUUUGCUAUGUACUUAGCUAAACUUUCCUGACAUUUAUGUAUCUUUUGAAAACUUUGUAUCUCGGGUUGACAGAGAAUAGCCUUGAUUCCUUUUUCUCCUCUAGUAAGGCACCCUGGAAUUAAGAACCACUGAAUAGUUUUUUCUCCUUGUUAUUACACUUGUGAUUUAAAAUCUAUUGAGGAAUUUUGGCUCACAAAAUCUUACUUAAUAAAGUCCUUCAAUAAUUCACUCUGGGAAAAAAAUCUAUAUAAUUAAAUAAAAUCACAGACAUAGCUUAUUGCAUAUCAACGCGUGUAAAACAAAUGUCUAUGAAUAAGUUUUAUUGAGCCAUGAAUCUGAACACCCACUGAAUCAGGUUGUUCCCAGAUUGGCUCAGCAUUUUAUGAAACCUAUUAUUCUUAUCUGACAUUACUGCAGUAUAACAGACCAUAGUGGCUUUUGAUUACAUUCCAUUUUAUUAUUGCUUUGUAGCAAAUUGUUCUCACCAAUAAGGGAUAAAGAUACAAAGGCAAUUGCAGCACAAACACGAAGACAUUUAUUUCCUUUUUUUGUGUGGUAAGAGUGUCCAGAAAUGUAUGAACAACUGGUCUUUUUAUUUAACUCAUCUUGAAAUAAUCAUGUCACAAAUAAAGAAUUCAUAUACGUUACAAGCUAGAUAACACACUUAGAAGCUAAUAAAAUUAUUUUUUAAAAUUGUGUGCUUUCACUAAGAUGGAACAAAUACGUUAAAUAUUAGCUAAAAUAUAAGUUUAUAUAUAAGUAAAUUAUUAGACUACUAUAAGUAAACUGAAUACUGAUGUUUAUACAUCCUUAUUUUGUUGUGAUAGUCUUCAAUGUAUUCAUAGUGGAGGAAUAUUCCCUGCAAUAAAUAUCCACAAGCUAUUUGAAAUUCAUGCGUUUUUCCACUUUCUUUUUGACAAAUAUCUCCUGGCAGUGAGGAAGUGCAACAGUGUAGAUUUGAUUUAUGUGUUCAAUUCCUUUAAAAUUUUUCUUUGUCCAUGACUGUUAUAAGGUCAUGAUAAUAUAUAUAUCCAUAUAUAUCUGUGGGUGUCUGCGUAGCUCUCUGUGUGUCCAUUACUUUUCCAGUUACAUACUAGACGUGAUAACUAAGAUAAAUUAACAAGAAUGUCUUAAUUUAACUCUCAAUUAAUAGACGUUCCAACGCCUGGAUAACUCUCCUAUACAAAUUAACUUUAAUAAAUUUAAAUGGUCAUAUCUUGUAAAUGACUGGCUUGUAGUUUGAUUCUGCUCUUUUACAGAGUUAUAAAAGUUUUAUCCCCCUUGCCAUGCUACAAAACAUUAUAUUGUGAUUUUUGUUAUUCUAUUUUAAAAACUGUUUCCCAUUAUCCAGAUGGUAGCAGCAUGGGACCUAUGUAACUAAAAUGUUUUAGAAGUUAUUUCAUAAGGGGACAAUAGGUCUAUAUUAGAACAUUUCUUAUCCUUCUCAAAGAUUACUCUUUUACUCAAAAAUAAUGUGACAAAAUUCUUUUACUUUAUUCAUACUUGAUAAAACAGGGUAGUGCCAACCAAACUGAACCAUUUCUUGGUAAUAACCAUCAUUCUUGUUUGGGAACAUCAUGGCCUGCAGCAUCAACAUUUACGAGAACAAAAUACAUUUGCUUUCAUUACAUAUUUCCAACUAUCUGUUUUCACUAGAAAAUGACUCUAUAAUUUAUGUAAGUAAGGAACAUGUCAGCUUGCUGUCUGUAUUUCAGAAAUAUUCUACAGUGUGUAUAAACUGAUAACCAAUGUCAAUUUGAAGACCCUCAUAGACUUUUUUAAAGUUAAUUUAAUUUCUCUGAUGAAAGAAUGAACAUCUUCAUUUGGCCACUCCUCACAAUUUAGCAUGUCAGUAUUUUAUUAAAUAUUUUAAUGUCAGUAUCUCUGUAAACUUACUAAAUAUUUUAAUGUCAAUAUCUGUGUAAAUAUCCAUGUAAAUCUGUGCAGAAUCCAAUGUAAAACUGAAAUGAAAAAUAACAUGGAAGAGAAAAUGGACCUAGAAACAAACAAAAAAAGAAACUGGGAAAAUGCUUUGAGAUGUUGUUUCACUCUCAGACUCUAACUCUUAGUUUCGUAUCUGCAAAAUUGAGAUACGAUGUGAUCUCAUGAGGCUGUAGUGAGGAAUAAAUAAGGAAAUAUAUGCAAAAUAUUAAAUAUAGGGUGUGGCUUU
Non-coding RNA from Vicugna pacos (alpaca), 2943 nucleotides. The record is from RefSeq and is a predicted model, not a curated record. NCBI's taxonomy places the organism in Eukaryota, Metazoa, Chordata, Mammalia, Artiodactyla, Camelidae.